GCUUGUCUCAAAGAUUAAGCCAUGCAUGUCUAAGUAUAAGCAAUUAUACCGCGAAACUGCGAAUGGCUCAUUAUAUAAGUUAUCGUUUAUUUGAUAAUACUUUACUACUUGGAUAACCGUGGUAAUUCUAGAGCUAAUACAUGCUAAAAAUCCCGACUUCGGAAGGGUUGUAUUUAUUAGAUUAAAAACCAAUGCCCCUCGGGGCUCUCUGGUGAAUCAUGAUAACUAGUCGAAUCGACAGGCCUUGUGCCGGCGAUGGCUCAUUCAAAUUUCUUCCCUAUCAACUUUCGAUGUUUGGGUAUUGUCCAAACAUGGUGGCAACGGGUAACGGAGGGUUAGGGCUCGACCCCGGAGAAGGAGCCUGAGAAACGGCUACUACAUCCAAGGAAGGCAGCAGGCGCGCAAAUUACCCAAUCCCGACACGGGGAGGUAGUGACAAUAAAUACUGAUACAGGGCUCUUUUGGGUCUUGUAAUCGGAAUGAGUACAAUUUAAAUCCCUUAACGAGGAACAAUUGGAGG
RNAcentral lists this ribosomal RNA (520 nucleotides) under uncultured fungus. RNAcentral's name for it is "SSU rRNA". It matches the Rfam family "Eukaryotic small subunit ribosomal RNA", at positions 30 to 554 of the family's 1831-position model. The record is from RNAcentral. Lineage: Eukaryota; Fungi.